RNAcentral lists this ribosomal RNA (740 nucleotides) under uncultured bacterium. RNAcentral describes it as "bacterial SSU rRNA". It matches the Rfam family "Bacterial small subunit ribosomal RNA", at positions 8 to 796 of the family's 1533-position model. The record is from RNAcentral.
AGAGUUUGAUCAUGGCUCAGAGCGAACGCUGGCGGCAGGCCUAAUACAUGCAAGUCGAGCGCACCUUCGGGUGAGCGGCGGACGGGUGAGUAACGCGUGGGAACGUGCCCUUUGGUACGGAACAACUGAGGGAAACUUCAGCUAAUACCGUAUGUGCCCUUCGGGGGAAAGAUUUAUCGCCAUUGGAGCGGCCCGCGUUGGAUUAGGUAGUUGGUGAGGUAAAGGCUCACCAAGCCUACGAUCCAUAGCUGGUCUGAGAGGAUGAUCAGCCACACUGGGACUGAGACACGGCCCAGACUCCUACGGGAGGCAGCAGUAGGGAAUCUUGCGCAAUGGGCGAAAGCCUGACGCAGCCAUGCCGCGUGAAUGAUGAAGGUCUUAGGAUUGUAAAAUUCUUUCACCGGGGAAGAUAAUGACGGUACCCGGAGAAGAAGCCCCGGCUAACUUCGUGCCAGCAGCCGCGGUAAUACGAAGGGGGCUAGCGUUGCUCGGAAUUACUGGGCGUAAAGGGCGCGUAGGCGGAUAUUUAAGUUGGGGGUGAAAUCCCGGGGCUCAACCUCGGAAUUGCCUUCAAAACUGGAUAUCUUGAGUUCGGGAGAGGUGAGUGGAACUCCGAGUGUAGAGGUGAAAUUCGUAGAUAUUCGGAAGAACACCAGUGGCGAAGGCGACUCACUGGCCCGAUACUGACGCUGAGGCGCGAAAGCGUGGGGAGCAAACAGGAUUAGAUACCCUAGUAGUCC